RNAcentral lists this ribosomal RNA (440 nucleotides) under uncultured bacterium. Its description in RNAcentral is "partial 16S ribosomal RNA". It matches the Rfam family "Bacterial small subunit ribosomal RNA", at positions 338 to 795 of the family's 1533-position model. The record is from RNAcentral.
CCUACGGGAGGCAGCAGUGGGGAAUAUUGCACAAUGGGGGAAACCCUGAUGCAGCGACGCCGCGUGAGUGAAGAAGUAAUUCGUUAUGUAAAGCUCUAUCAGCAGGGAAGAAAAUGACGGUACCUGAGUAAGAAGCCCCGGCUAACUACGUGCCAGCAGCCGCGGUAAUACGUAGGGGGCAAGCGUUAUCCGGAUUUACUGGGUGGAAAGGGAGCGUAGACGGCAGUGCAAGUCUGGAGUGAAAGGCGGGGGCUCAACCCCCGGAGUGCUCUGGAAACUGUACGGCUGGAGUGCAGGAGAGGUAAGUGGAAUUCCUAGUGUAGCGGUGAAAUGCGUAGAUAUUAGGAGGAACACCAGUGGCGAAGGCGGCUUACUGGACUGUAACUGACGUUGAGGCUCGAAAGCGUGGGGAGCAAACAGGAUUAGAUACCCCAGUAGUC